GUCCAGUGACAGCACGCCAGGCUCCUGAGCCAAUGGUCGUGGGUUCAAGUCCAGGC
RNAcentral lists this transfer RNA (56 nucleotides) under Oxyrrhis marina. Lineage: Eukaryota; Dinophyceae; Oxyrrhinales; Oxyrrhinaceae. The record is from RNAcentral.